Long non-coding RNA from Cucumis melo (muskmelon), 1091 nucleotides. RefSeq lists it as uncharacterized. The record is from RefSeq and is a predicted model, not a curated record. Lineage: Eukaryota; Viridiplantae; Streptophyta; Magnoliopsida; Cucurbitales; Cucurbitaceae. The transcript is spliced from 5 exons.
UUUCUCUUUUCUUCUUCUUCUCUUCCCUUCACCGCCAAGUUUGAAGACAUCCAAGUUCCCUUUAUUUUUUUGUUCUUUUUCCUUCUUCAAUUUGCAGAGAACUUCUAAGAGAGAGUUUGGAAGAAGAAGAGAAAUUUUACUAGAAUUUUUAGGUUGAAGAAGAGGAGGAGAACUCAAGCAAAGUGUAUCAAUGGCUGAAUUUUAGUUCAUUCUGCACAUCACUGGUUUUUAAUUCGGUUUGAACUCUUCAAACGGAAUUAAGAGGGCAGUUGGUUUUCACUCGAAAUCAGGAGGUCUCUGGUUUUUCUUGUAUUUCAGAGUGUAUCGGUGGAGUUAGAAUUUCUAUUUGGAACAAGUUAAAGAGGUCGUGUGCGCGCGAUUCUGGAAGUGGUUCUGUUUUGAGGGUUAUAUGUGUUUAUGCACGGGGAAUCAGAUUUAUAUGUCUUGAGGCCGAGAAGAAUUAAACCGAGCUUAUAGACCAAGGAUCUAGCCCAAGACUGUAGAGAUCGACUUCCCGGUGCCUGAUAGACUGCCUUAGUCUGCGGAAGCUUCAUUAUCGAUUGCCAGUACGUGUUUUGAGUUGGGCAUAAAGUCUGUUGUGUUGUGAUGUAUUCACACCCUUGUAUGUUAUAGAUACUCCACAGUUUGUAUAAGCUUUAGGAGCUGUAGUUGUGUAAAUUUUGUUGGUUAUAUUUUGAUUAAGGUGUCUUUAGGUUUACUCGUGAAAUUGGUAAAUUUUGAGGUACACUUCAUGAUGUGUUUGACUAGCUGUGUUUGACUAGCCUAGGAUCCGAUGUGUUUUGUGGCAUGUACAAUAGUUUAUAUACUAGAUUGGUAAGUUCAUCACAUGAAAGUUUUAAGCAGAGUCGACAGAUACAGGUACAGAAUAACGUUGUACGUCGGCUUCACGCCAUCUUUCGGUCUAAGGUAGCAGGUAGUCCGGGAGGGGGUGUGACACAAUAGCUUCCCAUUAAUUACCAUAACUUUCUUAUCUAUAUUUGGUUUAUUCUCACAACCCUAUAAAUAGAGGUUGUAAAGAUCAUUUGUAUACCCACCACAAUUGAGUUCAAUUGUCUUCUCUUCUUCUUCUC